This 460-nucleotide ribosomal RNA is filed under the name uncultured bacterium. RNAcentral describes it as "partial 16S ribosomal RNA". It matches the Rfam family "Bacterial small subunit ribosomal RNA", at positions 338 to 795 of the family's 1533-position model. The record is from RNAcentral.
CCUACGGGAGGCAGCAGUGAGGAAUAUUGGUCAAUGGGCUUACGCCUGAACCAGCCAAGUCGCGUGGGGGAAGACUGCCCUAUGGGUUGUAAACCUCUUUUGUCAGGGAGCAAUUGGCGCUACGUGUAGCGUUAUCGAGAGUACCUGAAGAAAAAGCAUCGGCUAACUCCGUGCCAGCAGCCGCGGUAAUACGGAGGAUGCGAGCGUUAUCCGGAUUGAUUGGGUUUAAAGGGUGCGUAGGCGGAAUGCCAAGUCAGCGGUAAAAUCGCGGGGCUCAACCUCGCUCCGCCGUUGAAACUGGCGUUCUUGAGUGGGCGAGAAGUAUGCGGAAUGCGUGGUGUAGCGGUGAAAUGCAUAGAUAUCACGCAGAACUCCGAUUGCGAAGGCAGCAUACCGGCGCCCAACUGACGCUGAAGCACGAAAGCGUGGGUAUCGAACAGGAUUAGAUACCCCAGUAGUC